UAUGUGAUCGUCUCUCGCAUAUCAAUAAGCGGAGGAAAAGAAACUAACAAGGAUUCCCCUAGUAACGGCGAGUGAAGCGGGAAGAGCUCAAAUUUGAAAUCUUAAAGGGUUUCCCUUUACGAAUUGUAGUUUAAAGAAGUGUUUUCUGUUGAGGUUUUGGUAAAAGUUCUUUGGAAUAGGACAUCAUAGAGGGUGAGAAUCCCGUAUUUGACCUUUACUUUCAACUUUGUGAUACACUUUCAAAGAGUCGGAUUGUUUGGGAAUGCAGUCCAAAAUGGGUGGUAAAUUUCAUCUAAAGCUAAAUAUUGGCGAGAGACCGAUAGCGAACAAGUACCGUGAGGGAAAGAUGAAAAGAACUUUGAAAAGAGAGUUAAACAGUACGUGAAAUUGUCAAAAGGGAAGCGUUUGACACCAGUGUUGUUUUUCUGAAAAUCAAUUAAAGAACUGUUUAUGCUAAGUUGUUUAGACUUUAUCAGCUAACUGUUUAGUUUUGAGCUUUUCUUUAAUGCACUUUUCAGUUAACAAGUCAACAUCAAUUUCUUUUGCUGUAAAAAAGCUUGAGGAAGGUGGCUUGAGAUUCGUCUUAAGUGUUUAUAGCCUCUUGCCUACUGCAGUCGGAGAGAUUGAGGUCUGCAGCGUAGAUCCCUUCGGGGCUAAAUGCAUUUGUGCUAAGUUAUAGCAUUUUAUAGACAACUUGUUGACUAUGAUUUGUCUUGUAGCUUACUCGCUUAUGUUAUUUUACCUACGCUUAGGAUGUUGACACACGCGCGUGCUCG
RNAcentral lists this ribosomal RNA (776 nucleotides) under uncultured Neocallimastigales. RNAcentral's name for it is "partial large subunit ribosomal RNA". It matches the Rfam family "Eukaryotic large subunit ribosomal RNA", at positions 24 to 643 of the family's 3401-position model. The record is from RNAcentral. Lineage: Eukaryota; Fungi; Neocallimastigomycota; Neocallimastigomycetes; Neocallimastigales.